GAUGAACGCUAGCUACAGGCUUAACACAUGCAAGUCGAGGGGCAGCAUUUUAGUUUGCUUGCAAACUGAAGAUGGCGACCGGCGCACGGGUGAGUAACACGUAUCCAACCUGCCGAUAACUCCGGGAUAGCCUUUCGAAAGAAAGGUUAAUACCGGAUAGCAUACGAAUAUCGCAUGAUAUUUUUAUUAAAGAAUUUCGGUUAUCGAUGGGGAUGCGUUCCAUUAGUUUGUUGGCGGGGUAACGGCCCACCAAGACAACGAUGGAUAGGGGUUCUGAGAGGAAGGUCCCCCACAUUGGAACUGAGACACGGUCCAAACUCCUACGGGAGGCAGCAGUGAGGAAUAUUGGUCAAUGGGCGAGAGCCUGAACCAGCCAAGUAGCGUGAAGGAUGAAGGCUCUAUGGGUCGUAAACUUCUUUUAUAUGGGAAUAAAGUAUUCCACGUGUGGAAUUUUGUAUGUACCAUAUGAAUAAGGAUCGGCUAACUCCGUGCCAGCAGCCGCGGUAAUACGGAGGAUCCGAGCGUUAUCCGGAUUUAUUGGGUUUAAAGGGAGCGUAGGUGGAUUGUUAAGUCAGUUGUGAAAGUUUGCGGCUCAACCG
This 599-nucleotide ribosomal RNA is filed under the name uncultured Bacteroides sp. RNAcentral's name for it is "bacterial SSU rRNA". It matches the Rfam family "Bacterial small subunit ribosomal RNA", at positions 28 to 615 of the family's 1533-position model. The record is from RNAcentral. Lineage: Bacteria; Pseudomonadati; Bacteroidota; Bacteroidia; Bacteroidales; Bacteroidaceae.